AUGGAUAAACACAUGCUAAUCCAGCUAUGGAUGGCAAAUGACUUUAUUGCAUCAGAAACAAGAGGCCAACAAAUUUUUGAUGUGCUUGUUUGGAGGUGUUUCCUCCAAGAUGUGGAGAUUCAAAAGAAAAGCCUCUUCGAACUUGCAGAUGAGCACAUCCACCGACCAACUACCUGCAGGAUGCAUGAUCUCAUGCAUGACCUUGCUGAAUUUGUAAGCGGAGAAGAUUGCACCAUUAUGAAUAGAUCCACAAAAGCCAGUUCAUUACGUCACAAGGUUCGAUACUUGUCAGUUGAUAAUCUUUAUUUCUAUAUUUGGAGUGACCUGGAGGUAAUUCUAGCUCCCUGGCCCCGGACAAUAUUACUCGAAAGGAUGUGGUGUGACACUCGUUGGAGUAUAGCCAAGUCAACAUGCAUGUCCUUGAGAGCAUUGAAGACACUCUCUAACUAUACACAAAUGACAAACUUGAAGCAUCUACGAUAUCUAGGUAAUAAUGAUACAGAGAAUGUGCAGUCAUGUAUUUCUCCACCACCCUUCUUUCCUAAGCUGGAAACCAUGGAAGUUGUCAACAUGCCUAACCUAGAGAGAUGGCACCAGGAGGUGGCAGGACAAGUAGCGGUUGAAUCAUUUCCUCAGCUCAAGGAGUUAGAAAUUGGUGACUGCCCAGUGCUCCCAACCCUCGAG
RNAcentral lists this ribosomal RNA (684 nucleotides) under Triticum aestivum (bread wheat). RNAcentral's name for it is "partial small subunit ribosomal RNA". Lineage: Eukaryota; Viridiplantae; Streptophyta; Magnoliopsida; Poales; Poaceae. The record is from RNAcentral.